AUAGAAAACAACCAAAUACAAAUCGAUAUAAAGCUAUCAGUCGAAAUCGCAUUUUUCGAGCUAAGGAAAUUGAAUACAAAGCUAUAAUUUCCUGGGCACAGAAAUUAUUCUCAUUUCGAAAUGAAAUUUGAAAAUUUGAACAAGAGUUCAAGGCGUCUGUUAUAUGUAGACCAACAUUUCUUCAAAUUUUGAUCGCAACAAUAUUAAAAGUUUCACUUGAUAUAGCCAAAAAUCCGAUCUUUAUAACUUUAAAUAAAGUAUAUCAGAUUCCAUAUAAACAUACAAUCACAUGUGAAAUUUGAACUUACCUUUUCUUGAUUCCCCCUUUAACUUUUCUGUACCUGCUAAGGAAACUUUAAAACAUUGCUAUCAUAGUAUCUUGAUUUACUCCGAACAACGGACAAGCAACUCCAAACAACAAACUCAAAGCUAAAAUAUAUUAAAAAAAACUCUUAUACAGUUCUAAUGUGAACACUAGCGACUAGCUGAACUUACUAUUCUGCGCUUGGCAACGCAUACACAAUUGUGCACAACACGUCAUUCUAGGCUAAAUUAUUUUCUCCUGCUAUUUUCUCGAAAGCACGCGUAUCAACUACAAAACUUGGCAACAUUAAUAUCAUGAAACCCCUCCUCCACUAACGGAAACAAAUACUCAAUUGCUUUCCUGUCAACCAACAAAGUUAGUAAUUUUAGAUUCUUUUUAUUACUGAAUAUUAUUUUGCCC
Paramuricea clavata is the source of this 724-nucleotide non-coding RNA. The record is from the annotation of a GenBank genome assembly. NCBI's taxonomy places the organism in Eukaryota, Metazoa, Cnidaria, Anthozoa, Malacalcyonacea, Plexauridae.